RNAcentral lists this ribosomal RNA (348 nucleotides) under uncultured bacterium. Its description in RNAcentral is "bacterial SSU rRNA". It matches the Rfam family "Bacterial small subunit ribosomal RNA", at positions 28 to 376 of the family's 1533-position model. The record is from RNAcentral.
GACGAACGCUGGCGGCGUGCUUAACACAUGCAAGUCGAGCGGUAAGGCCUUUCGGGGUACACGAGCGGCGAACGGGUGAGUAACACGUGGGUGACCUGCCCUUCACUCUGGGAUAAGCCUAGGGAAACUGGGUCUAAUACCGGAUAUUCACGCAUCUUCGCAGUGGGGGUGGGUGGUAAAGUUUUUUCGGUGGGGGAUGGGCCCGCGGCCUAUCAGCUUGUUGGUGGGGUGAUGGCCUACCAAGGCGACGACGGGAGCCGGCCUGAGAGGGCGACCGGCCACACUGGGACUGAGACACGGCCCAGACUCCUACGGGAGGCAGCAGGUGGGGAAUAUUGCGCAAGUGGG